GACGAACGCUGGCGGCGUGCUUAACACAUGCAAGUCGAACGGAAAGGCCCUGCUUUUGUGGGGUGCUCGAGUGGCGAACGGGUGAGUAACACGUGAGUAACCUGCCCUUGACUUUGGGAUAACUUCAGGAAACUGGGGCUAAUACCGGAUAGGAGCUCCUGCUGCAGGGUGGGGGUUGGAAAGUUUCGGCGGUUGGGGAUGGACUCGCGGCUUAUCAGCUUGUUGGUGGGGUAGUGGCUUACCAAGGCUUUGACGGGUAGCCGGCCUGAGAGGGUGACCGGCCACAUGGGGACUGAGAUACGGCCCAGACUCCUACGGGAGGCAGCAGUGGGGAAUAUUGCACAAUGGGCGGAAGCCUGAUGCAGCAACGCCGCGUGUGGGAUGACGGCCUUCGGGUUGUAAACCGCUUUCGCCUGUGACGAAGCGUGAGUGACGGUAAUGGGUAAAGAAGCACCGGCUAACUACGUG
RNAcentral lists this ribosomal RNA (468 nucleotides) under uncultured bacterium. RNAcentral describes it as "partial 16S ribosomal RNA". It matches the Rfam family "Bacterial small subunit ribosomal RNA", at positions 28 to 507 of the family's 1533-position model. The record is from RNAcentral.